CUAAUCAAAAGUCCAAGAUUAAUUUUCUUUUGUGUGUGACCCAUUGGGUUUCACAUCUAGCCAGCAGUAGGUCAAGUUCAUGUGCACCUAAUCCAAUUAGGUCCAAGGCACAUUGAACCCAAGUCCAUCAAUUAAUCAGAGCUCUUCUAAUUAAUUUGCUUAAGUAAAUUUUUUUAAUUUAUUGAGACCUAUAAGUCAAGAUUGAUAUCUAGAAAUAUGUCAUGACUACC
This 230-nucleotide long non-coding RNA is filed under the name Elaeis guineensis (African oil palm). Its description in RNAcentral is "long non-coding RNA (EGUI_LNC058071)". The record is from RNAcentral. Lineage: Eukaryota; Viridiplantae; Streptophyta; Magnoliopsida; Arecales; Arecaceae.